GACUUGUAGAGCGGUAACAAUUACCUAUUUCUAGAACAUUUUCCCAUCACUUCCAAAGGAAACGGGUACCCAUUAGCAGUCGCUCACCAUUCCUCCCUACUCCCAUCCCUUGGCGACAUCUAGUCUACCUUUUUAUAUGAGUUUGCCUAAUCUGGAUAUUUCAAAUAAGUGGAAUUGUACAAUAUGUGCACAAUCUUCGUGAUUAGUUUCUUUUACCUGAUCAUGUUAUCAAGAUUCAUCCAUGUUGGAGAUCCUGUGUUAGCUCCGCAGGUCAGAACCCAGCAUGGUGUGCAUGAGGAUGAGAGUUCCAUCCCUGGACUCGCUUGGUGGGUUAAAGAUGUGGGGUUCCACAGCAAUGCGGGAUCCCCAACCCACCAAGCAAGGCCAGGGAUCGAACCUGCAACCCCAUGGCUCCCAGUCGGAUCCGUAAACCUCUGCGCCACGACAGGAACUCCGAUCAGUGAUUUUAUUUUACAAGAACCUCUUUGUGACUCCCUGUGAUCUGGGUCCUAUAAGAUAUGAGUAGGGCACAGAGAAAGGGAAACCAUGGCCUGACAUGUCAGUAAUAACCAACUUUAGCCAGGCUUGUUUGGUAGCAAGUGGCAGAAACCCACACUGUUCAUAUAUCCAUCCGAACUGUCUUAAGUUUUCUUUCCCACUAAAUUGUGAAUUCCUUUGGGGGCAGAGACAUAGCUUGUUUAUUUGUCAUCCCCAUGCUCGGCACAGUACCUGACACACAGAAACUGCUCAAUAAGUGCUCAAUGAAUGAAUGGGUAUAUAGAUUAGAAUUCCCAGAUGAAUAGAGAUUGGCACAGGAACAAACACUAAUCAGUAUUACCAGUACUGAUGAGAUGAAAGGUAUAGGAAUUACAGGAUUUUUAGGACUUAGCUUUUAGUUUUCUAGUUUUUGAGCUUCAUUGCUCAAGGUAGUUCUCUACCCAAACAACUUCUUGCUGUUUCCCCAGUAAACACUAUUUUGAAAUGAGAAACACGACAGAAUAGUGGCUAAAAAGCUCAUAUUCUGAAGGUAAAUCUGUGUUUGGACCCUGUCAGUGCUACUUAAUAACCAUAUAACCUUAAUAUUUUCAUAACAUUUUUGCCUCCAUUUUCUCAUUUGUAAAAUGGGAGCAAUCUCAUAGAGUUGUGAGGAUUAAAUGAGUUAAGGUAUAGAACUCCCUCAGUUCCUAGAACAUAGGUUUACUCAAGCAAUAUUUGCCAUUUUAUUUUACUUUUUUAAUUUUUUUGUCUUUUUGCCAUUUCUUGGGUUACUCCCUUGGCAUGUGGAGGGUCCCAGGCUAGGGGUCGAAUCAGAGCUGUAGCCACCGGCCUAUACCAGAGCCACAGCGUCGCGGGAUCCGAACCCUGUCUGCAACCUACAGCACAGCUCACGGCAAUGCCGGAUCCUUAACCUACUGAGCAAGGCCAGGGAUCAAACUCGCCAACCUCAUGGUUCCUAGUCGGAUUCUUUAACCACUGAGCCGCAAUGGGAACUCCAAUAUUUGCCAUUUUAAAAGGAAGAGGAGUUCCCAUCAUGGCGCAGUCUUUUUUAACUGUGCCUGUUGUGGAGCUCUGUAUCAGAUAUUUAGCAAAUAUUUACUAGAUAAAUGCAAUUAAAUAUUUGGCUAAGUAUUAUUUUAGACCAGUUUUUUAUUUUAUUUAUUUAUUUAUAUGUCUUUUUGCCUUUUCUAGGGCUGCUCCCCAGGCAUGUGAAGGUUCGCAGGCUAGGGGGCUAAUUGGAGCUAUAGCCACUGGCCUACAUCACAGCGAUAGCAACUCGGGAUCCGAGCUGCAUCUGCGACCUACACCACAGCUCACAGCAAUGCCAGAUCGUUAACCCACUGAGCAAGGCCAGGGAUCGAACCCACAACCUCAUGUUUCUACUUGGAUUCGUUAACCACUGCGCCACGACGGGAACUCCUAGACCAGUUUUUUAAACUGAUGUGUCCCUGAAUUUCAGCAGUUCUUGUGUAGCCGGGAAGUAAUUUCAUCUGCUUUCCCAGAGAGCAUGGUCUUAGUUUUUGUUAUUUUUGUCCUUUACCUACCUCAGGUUUCCCAAAUUGGGAACAAUCUUUGGUCAAAGGGCAGUGAAAUGACCAGAUAAGGCAGUACAUAUAUUGUGGAAGGGAUGGAAGUGCUUGGAGCCUUUCCCAAAAUAUUUUUUUAUAAGGAAGCCAUGUGGGAAAGCCACAGAAAUAUUAUAUCACCAGGAUACUAGAGUAAGAGCCACAAGGAAAGCCCUUUGCUGGUUCUAUAACCUUGGCUUCUGAGAAAGAAUGCAGACUUUAAAUGCUAGAGUGGUACUUUAAACUGGAAACUGUCUUCAUUACCCUUUUUUUUUUUGUCUUUUUCAGGGCCUCACCCUACGCCACUACCUUACCAGCCAACGCCACAGCCACAGCCACUCGGGACCCGCACCCCAUCUUCCACCUACACCGUAGCUCACAACAACACUGGAUCCUUAAUCCACUGAGCGAGGCCUGGGAUCGAACCUGUGUCCUCAUGGAUACUAGUCAGCUUCGUUUCUGCUGAGCCAUAACGGGAACGCCUUCUAUGAGAAUUUUUGAUUCAGGUUCGAUGCCUGGCCUCGCUCAGUAGGUUAAGGAUCUGGUGUUGCCACAAACUGUGGCGUAGGUCAUAGAUGAGGCUCGAAUGUUGUGUUGCCAUGGCUGUGGCAUAGGCUGGCAGCUGUAGCUCCAACUCCACUUUGACCCCCAGCCUGGGAACUUCUAUAUGCUGCAGGUGGGGCUGUAAAAAGGCAAAAAUAAAAAAAAAAAAAAAGGAAAGAAGCAGCAUUUGAGCCACUUAUGUAUUUUGAAAUGUUCUAGUAUGUGUAUAUAUUUUUAAAGUAAAAAUAAAAACAAAAACCCAAGUGGAA
RNAcentral lists this long non-coding RNA (2875 nucleotides) under Sus scrofa (pig). RNAcentral's name for it is "lncRNA (ENSSSCG00025038111.1)". The record is from RNAcentral. Lineage: Eukaryota; Metazoa; Chordata; Mammalia; Artiodactyla; Suidae.